Molecule: transfer RNA, 86 nt
Organism: Puccinia sorghi
Lineage: Eukaryota; Fungi; Basidiomycota; Pucciniomycetes; Pucciniales; Pucciniaceae
Rfam family: tRNA
About the family: Transfer RNA (tRNA) molecules are approximately 80 nucleotides in length. Their secondary structure includes four short double-helical elements and three loops (D, anti-codon, and T loops).
Source: Rfam
AACUUUGUAGCCUAGUUGGUCAAGGUAGCACUUCUAGUAUAGUGUCUUAGCUUCUAAGAUUGCUGGUUCAAAUCCUGCCCAAGUUG